RNAcentral lists this long non-coding RNA (1402 nucleotides) under Monodelphis domestica (gray short-tailed opossum). RNAcentral describes it as "lncRNA (ENSMODG00000040019.1)". Lineage: Eukaryota; Metazoa; Chordata; Mammalia; Didelphimorphia; Didelphidae. The record is from RNAcentral.
CCAGGACAGAAGAAUGUUAAAGGCUAGGAAAUUGGGAUUAAGUGAUUUGCCCAGGGACACAUGGCUAGGAAGUAUCUGAGGCCAGCAGAUAUGAAUACAGGACUCCUCUGUCCAGGCCUGGCUUUCUAUCCAAUGAGACAUCUGGCUGCCCCAAAUACAUUUUAAUUUGAUAAAGGCUUCCCUCAGUGAUGUAGUGGACAACAUGUUUGACCCUUCUGAUUUAAGUGAUUUAAAAUAUUCAGACAGCAUAAAGCCUGGCCAUAAUAUUAAGUAAUAAAAUCACAUGUAUAAUCCAUAGUCAUACUUAUGCAUAGACAUAUACUGAUAUGUAUUAUACAUAUAUGAACAUGAAUCCAUUUCUUUUCAUUUUUCACAUGCAUGCAGUUAGCCCCCAUUUUUAGAGACUGCCAAAAUACCCCCUAGUUCUAACAGUCCUAUGAUUCUGUGAUAUGUGUGAAUCUGUACUUUGAAGAGUCUUAAUUGUCUUAGGAUGGCUAGAAAAGCCCUUGGGAUACUCUCUCUCUCUCUCUCUCUCUCUCUCUCUCUCUCUCUCUCUCUCUCUCUCUCUCUCUCUCUCUCUCCCCUCUCCCUCCCUCCCUCCCUCCCUUCCUUCCUUCCUUCCUCCCUCCCUUCCUUCCUUCCUCCUUCUUUUCUUUCUUUCUUCUUUCUUUCUUUCUUUCUUUCUUUCUUUCUUUCUUUCUUUCUUUCUUUCUUUCUUUCUUUCUUUCUUUCUUUCUUUCUUUCUUUCUUUCUUUCUUUCUUUCUUCUUUCCUUCCUUCCUUCCUUCCUUCCUUCCUUCCUUCCUUCCUUCCUUCCUUCCUUCCUUCCUUCCUUUCUUUCUUUCUUUCUUUCUUUCUUUCUUUCUUUCUUUCUUUCUUUCUUUCUUUCUUUCUUUCUUUCUUUCUUUCUUUCUUUCUAACAACUUUAAGGGCUAGGCAAACAGGGUUGUGACUUGCCUCAGGUCACACAGGGAGGAAGUGUCUGAGGCAAGAUUUAUACCCAGUUUCUCCCAUCUCCAGGUCUAGCGCUCUAUCCACUGUGACACCUAGCCGUCCUUUCAAAGUCUGGGAGAGGUAAAAUUCCCAAAGGCUGUCUGUCUAAAAUGCAAUGUAACCAGUUUGCUGUUUUGCUUUUUUUCAUACACACCAAUAUCAGAUUACUCCUGACUUAAGCUGUGUAGAAUAGCGAAACAAACUUUUUCAAAAGUAAUAUUGUUGCUUGGCUUAGAAUGACUCAGCCUUGGGCAGGGCCCUUCAGGUUUGCGUAUCUGCAAAUGGACAGAUUUCCAUGCAUCUAAUAUGACAUUGAUAAUUGUAUAAAUGCAUUUAUAUGUAUGAGAUAGCGAUCAUAACCCACACCUGUUAUUUUCAUGCAUAUUCAAAUAAACACAUGUGUAAUAUCA